GACGAACGCUGGCGGCGUGCUUAACACAUGCAAGUCGAACGGUAACAGAAGAGCUUGCUCUUCUGGCUCAGUGGCGAACGGGUGAGUAACACGUGUGUAACCUGCCCUAGACUUUGGUAUAAGCGCUCGAAACGGCGUCUAAUCCCGGAUACGAGACAGCGCUGCAUUGCUACCAUCUGGACAUUUUUUCGGUCUGGGAUGGACUCGCGGCCUAUCAGCUUGUUGGUGGGGUAGCGGCUCACCCAGCCAACGACGGGUAGCCGACCUGAGAGGGGGACCGGCGACACUGGGACUGAGGCAGGGCCCAGACUCCUACAGGAGACAGCAGUGGGGAGUAUUACACAAUGGGCGCGAGCCGGAUGCAGCGACGCCGCGUGAGGGAUGACGGCCUUCGGGUUGUGAACCGCUUUCGGCAAGGAAGAAGCGAUAGUGACGGUACCUGCAGAAGAAGCACCGGCUAACUACGUG
RNAcentral lists this ribosomal RNA (468 nucleotides) under uncultured bacterium. Its description in RNAcentral is "partial 16S ribosomal RNA". It matches the Rfam family "Bacterial small subunit ribosomal RNA", at positions 28 to 507 of the family's 1533-position model. The record is from RNAcentral.